Molecule: ribosomal RNA, 253 nt
Filed under: uncultured bacterium
Lineage: Bacteria
Description: partial 16S ribosomal RNA
Rfam family: Bacterial small subunit ribosomal RNA
Source: RNAcentral
GACAGAGGGUGCAAACGUUGUUCGGAAUUACUGGGUGUAAAGCGCGCGUAGGCGGCUCGGAAAGUCGGGCGUGAAAUGCCGGGGCUCAACCCCGGGACUGCGUCCGAUACUUCCGAGCUGGAGGUAGGUAGGGGAGAUCGGAAUCCCUGGUGUAGCGGUGAAAUGCGCAGAUAUCAGGAGGAACACCGGUGGCGAAGGCGGAUCUCUGGGCCUUACCUGACGCUGAGGCGCGAAAGCUAGGGGAGCGAACAGG